AAGAAUAAAAACUAAAAAUGAUAGUGAUAACUGAAUAAAAACUAAAAAUGAUAGUGAUAACUGACGAAAUACAUAUAUAACUUCCUAAUAAACUCAAAUCCGAAUACGUCCUCUCAUUUCUCUCAUCGUCAAGCUCCCAAAAUUCACUCCAUGCAGCUUUGUCGAGAAUCAUAAACAAGUUUUUGGCGAACAAACCGAGUUAUGACAUUUGCCUGCUCAGUAUCCUUGACCUGAUUAUAUAGACAACCGAACAAAUUUACUCAAGUUUAAUCCUGAGAGUUUCAAAACAAUGAAAAAGAUGAUAUAUAGCCAAGGGUUCAGGUUCCACAGCUUCUGGAAAGUCUUGGCAACAGAAUCUCCAAGCAACAGCUUAU
RNAcentral lists this long non-coding RNA (374 nucleotides) under Citrus sinensis (sweet orange). RNAcentral describes it as "long non-coding RNA (CSIN_LNC005665)". Lineage: Eukaryota; Viridiplantae; Streptophyta; Magnoliopsida; Sapindales; Rutaceae. The record is from RNAcentral.